UACGGAGGGUGCAAGCGUUAAUCGGAAUUACUGGGCGUAAAGCGCACGCAGGUGGCUGAGUCAGUCGAUUGUGAAAGCCCUGGGCUUAACCUGGGAAUUGCAGUCGAUACUACUCAGCUAGAGUAUGGGAGAGGGUAGUGGAAUUCCCGGUGUAGCGGUGAAAUGCAUAGAUAUCGGGAGGAACAUCAGUGGCGAAGGCGGCUACCUGGCCCAAUACUGACACUCAGGUGCGACAGCGUGGGGAGCAAACAGG
Molecule: ribosomal RNA, 253 nt
Filed under: uncultured bacterium
Lineage: Bacteria
Description: partial 16S ribosomal RNA
Rfam family: Bacterial small subunit ribosomal RNA
Source: RNAcentral